Molecule: ribosomal RNA, 393 nt
Filed under: uncultured bacterium
Lineage: Bacteria
Description: bacterial SSU rRNA
Rfam family: Bacterial small subunit ribosomal RNA
Source: RNAcentral
GUGUCAGCAGCCGCGGUAAUACGUAGGCAGCGAGCGUUGUUCGGAGUUACUGGGCGUAAAGGGUGUGUAGGCGGUUCUUUAAGUUUGGUGUGAAAUCUCCCGGCUUAACCGGGAGGGUGCGCCGAAUACUGAAGGGCUAGAGUGCGGGAUGGGAGAGUGGAAUUCCUGGUGUAGCGGUGAAAUGCGUAGAUAUCAGGAGGAACACCGGUGGUGCAGACGGCUCUCUGGACCGUAACUGACGCUGAAACACGAAAGCGUGGGGAGCAAACAGGAUUAGAUACCCUGGUAGUCCACGCCCUAAACGAUGCAUAUUUGGUGUAGGCAGUUCAUUCUGUCUGUGCCGGAGCUAACGCGUUAAAUAUGCCGCCUGGGGAGUACAGUCGCAAGGCUGAA